AAUGGUUCUUAUCUGCCAUAGGAUAGGAUUGUGUUCGAUUAUGGUAGUUGGUGAGAUAAUGGCUCACCAAGCCGAUAAUCGAUAGGGGCCGUGAGAGCGGGAGCCCCGAGAUGGGUACUGAGACAACGACCCAGGCCUUACGAGGCGCAGCAGGCGCGGAACCUCAUCAAUACACGAAAGUGUGAAUGGGUUACCCAAAGUGUCCUUAUUCGGACUGUGGUAGGUGAGUAAUGUCCCCUACUACAAAGGAGAGGGCAAGGCUGGUGCCAGCCGCCGAGGUAAAACCAGCUCUUCAAGUGGUCGGGAUAAU
This 310-nucleotide ribosomal RNA is filed under the name uncultured archaeon. RNAcentral describes it as "bacterial SSU rRNA". It matches the Rfam family "Archaeal small subunit ribosomal RNA", at positions 187 to 501 of the family's 1478-position model. The record is from RNAcentral.